Molecule: ribosomal RNA, 505 nt
Filed under: uncultured bacterium
Lineage: Bacteria
Description: bacterial SSU rRNA
Rfam family: Bacterial small subunit ribosomal RNA
Source: RNAcentral
CCUGGCUCAGGAUGAACGCUAGCGACAGGCCUAACACAUGCAAGUCGAGGGGCAGCGGAGAGGUAGCAAUACCCUUUGGCCGGCGACCGGCGCACGGGUGAGUAACACGUAUGCAAUCCACCUGUAACAGGGGGAUAACCCGGAGAAAUCCGGACUAAUACCCCCAUAAUAUGGGCGCUCCGCAUGGAGGGUCCAUUAAAGAGAGCAAUUUUGGUUACAGACGAGCAUGUGCUCCAUUAGCCAGUUGGCGGGGUAACGGCCCACCAAAGCGACGAUGGAUAGGGGUUCUGAGAGGAAGGUCCCCCACAUUGGAACUGAGACACGGUCCAAACUCCUACGGGAGGCAGCAGUGAGGAAUAUUGGUCAAUGGUCGGCAGACUGAACCAGCCAAGUCGCGUGAGGGAAGACGGCCCUACGGGUUGUAAACCUCUUUUGUCGGAGAGUAAAGUACGCUACGUGUAGUGUAUUGCAAGUAUCCGAAGAAAAAGCAUCGGCUAACUCCGUG